AGUGAACGCUGGCGGUAGGCCUAACACAUGCAAGUCGAACGGCAGCACAGUAAGAGCUUGCUCUUACGGGUGGCGAGUGGCGGACGGGUGAGGAAUACAUCGGAAUCUACUUUUUCGUGGGGGAUAACGUAGGGAAACUUACGCUAAUACCGCAUACGACCUACGGGUGAAAGCAGGGGAUCUUCGGACCUUGCGCGAUUGAAUGAGCCGAUGUCGGAUUAGCUAGUUGGCGGGGUAAAGGCCCACCAAGGCGACGAUCCGUAGCUGGUCUGAGAGGAUGAUCAGCCACACUGGAACUGAGACACGGUCCAGACUCCUACGGGAGGCAGCAGUGGGGAAUAUUGGACAAUGGGCGCAAGCCUGAUCCAGCCAUACCGCGUGGGUGAAGAAGGCCUUCGGUUGGUAAAGCCCUUUUGUUGGGAAAGAAAAGCAGCAGGUUAAGACCCCGCUGUUCUGACGGUACCCAAAGAAUAAGCACCGGCUAACUUCGU
Molecule: ribosomal RNA, 491 nt
Filed under: uncultured bacterium
Lineage: Bacteria
Description: partial 16S ribosomal RNA
Rfam family: Bacterial small subunit ribosomal RNA
Source: RNAcentral